RNAcentral lists this transfer RNA (72 nucleotides) under Sphingobacterium sp. RNAcentral's name for it is "tRNA-Met". It matches the Rfam family "tRNA". From Rfam's summary of the family: Transfer RNA (tRNA) molecules are approximately 80 nucleotides in length. Their secondary structure includes four short double-helical elements and three loops (D, anti-codon, and T loops). RNAcentral also lists the same sequence under 3 other names. Lineage: Bacteria; Pseudomonadati; Bacteroidota; Sphingobacteriia; Sphingobacteriales; Sphingobacteriaceae. The record is from RNAcentral.
UGCGGGAUGGAGCAGUGGUAGCUCGUCGGGCUCAUAACCCGAAGGUCGUCAGUUCGAGUCUGGCUCCCGCUA